Molecule: ribosomal RNA, 429 nt
Filed under: Bacillota bacterium
Lineage: Bacteria; Bacillati; Bacillota
Description: Firmicutes bacterium partial 16S ribosomal RNA
Rfam family: Bacterial small subunit ribosomal RNA
Source: RNAcentral
UGGGGAAUUUUGGACAAUGGGGGCAACCCUGAUCCAGCAAUGCCGCGUGUGUGAAGAAGGCCUUCGGGUUGUAAAGCACUUUUGUCCGGGAAGAAAUCGCACCUGAUAAUACCGGGUGUGGAUGACGGUACCGGAAGAAUAAGGACCGGCUAACUACGUGCCAGCAGCCGCGGUAAUACGUAGGGUCCAAGCGUUAAUCGGAAUUACUGGGCGUAAAGCGUGCGCAGGCGGUUGUGCAAGACCGAUGUGAAAUCCCCGGGCUUAUCCUGGGAAUUGCAUUGGUGACUGCACGGCUAGAGUGUGUCAGAGGGGGGUAGAAUUCCACGUGUAGCAGUGAAAUGCGUAGAGAUGUGGAGGAAUACCGAUGGCGAAGGCAGCCCCCUGGGAUAACACUGACGCUCAUGCACGAAAGCGUGGGGAGCAAACAGG